UUACAGUUGAUCACGCAUCCUUAAGAUAAUUAUUUCUGUAUAAGGGGAUCAAAUACUUAAAUGAAAAAGGAAUCAGAGGUCCUAGGACUUCUUUCAGGUGUCACCAAGAAUGUUUAAAAUCACUAAAUACAAUUGAAGCUCAAUUGACUAAAACUGCUCAAAUCCUCUCCAUUUUGUCAUCUUUCCCACUCCAACUAGGUUAAACAAUAUUUUACUUUUUGACAGAAUUCAAUAUAUCCAUCAACAUUUGAAGAUUCAAAUUCCUCCAAACAAACAAAUAAUGUCUUUUGAAAUUUGAAUUUCAAAACUGAGAAGCUUCCAUUUUACCACCAUCAGAGAAAAAUAUAGAGAGAAAAAGAAGCAAUCGAUCAUCCCACAUUAAUAUCUAGAUGCCGUCGAGAGGAAAGGCGGAAGAGAAGAGGCCCAUCAACCAUCCACCACAGAAAAAGAGAAGAGAGAAGAGGAAGGGAGAAGCCACAUUUCCAUCUUAUAGUUACAGAGGGAUGAAAGAAGAAAGAGGAAGGAAAUACCCUCAAGACCAGAGGAAGGAUGGAGAGAGAAAGAGCGAAGGGGGAGACCACACCAGAGGGGAUAGGUUCAGCAUCAAAAAGAGAAGAGAAAGAAGGGAGACCAGAAAUGGAAUCCGAUGACUAACCCGCUACCGAGGAAGGCCGGCAACUACUUGCGCAAGGGACGGAGAGAGGGAGAGAAAGCCAACUUGGCCUAGCCUGCAAUCAAGAAAGGCCGGCAAAGAGAAGAUGGAGGAGUGGCUUUGCUCUUAGCUAGAAAAUGGACCCACCACCAAAAAGGUCGAGAGUUGGGAGAGGGGGAAGAGAGAGAAUGAAAAAAAGAUAGAGGGGCUCAGCCACCACCAAAAGAAGAGAGGGGUAGAGAGGUAGAGAGGGGGGAAGGCGAAAGAGAUGGGCUUGGCUGCCGGCUGGUUGUCGGAAGAAGAGGUUUGUCGCAGAAGUCCAAUAGUCGAAGAAUAGAGAGGGAGAGAGAGAGAGAUAGAGAAGAAAAGAAAAAUGACCCACCACCGAAAAAUGGGAGAGAGGGAAAGAGUCAGAAAGCAAGGGAGAG
RNAcentral lists this long non-coding RNA (1080 nucleotides) under Elaeis guineensis (African oil palm). Its description in RNAcentral is "long non-coding RNA (EGUI_LNC003036)". The record is from RNAcentral. Lineage: Eukaryota; Viridiplantae; Streptophyta; Magnoliopsida; Arecales; Arecaceae.